UAACAAGGAUUCCCCUAGUAACGGCGAGUGAAGCGGGAUGAGCUCAAAUUUAAAAUCUGGCAGUCUUUGAUUGUCCGAGUUGUAAUCUAGAGAAGCGUUUUCCGCGCUGGACUGUGUACAAGUUUCCUGGAUACGGAACAUCAUAGAGGGUGAGAAUCCCGUCCUUGACACAGACUCCCAGUGCUCUGCGAUGCGCUCUCGACGAGUCGAGUUGUUUGGGAUUGCAGCUCAAAAUGGGAGGUAAAUUCCUUCUAAAGCUAAAUAUUGGCGAGAGACCGAUAGCGAACAAGUACCGUGAGGGAAAGAUGAAAAGCACUUUGGAAAGAGAGUUAAACAGUACGUGAAAUUGUUAAAAGGGAAACGAUUGAAGUCAGUCGCGUUUGCUUGGACUCAGCCUUACUUCGGUAUGGUGCAUUUCCUUGCGAACGGGCCAGCGUCCAUGUUGUCCGUCGGAAAAGGUGCGUGGGAAUGUGGCUUCUUCGGGAGUGUUAUAGCCCAUGUUCGUAUACGGCGUGUGAUAUGGAGUGGUACAGCAUGCUUCGGCGGUGCUUGUGCUGGCAU
This 561-nucleotide ribosomal RNA is filed under the name Sistotrema brinkmannii. RNAcentral describes it as "LSU rRNA". It matches the Rfam family "Eukaryotic large subunit ribosomal RNA", at positions 66 to 632 of the family's 3401-position model. Lineage: Eukaryota; Fungi; Basidiomycota; Agaricomycetes; Cantharellales; Hydnaceae. The record is from RNAcentral.